Molecule: ribosomal RNA, 443 nt
Filed under: uncultured bacterium
Lineage: Bacteria
Description: partial 16S ribosomal RNA
Rfam family: Bacterial small subunit ribosomal RNA
Source: RNAcentral
CCUACGGGAGGCAGCAGUGGGGAAUAUUGGGCAAUGGGCGCAAGCCUGACCCAGCAACGCCGCGUGAAGGAAGAAGGCUUUCGGGUUGUAAACUUCUUUUCUCAGGGACGAAGCAAGUGACGGUACCUGAGGAAUAAGCCACGGCUAACUACGGGCCAGCAGCCGCGGGAAUACGUAGGUGGCAAGCGUUAUCCGGAUUUACUGGGUGUAAAGGGCGUGUAGGCGGGAAAGCAAGUCAGAUGUGAAAACCAUGGGCUCAAACUGUGGCCUGCAUUUGAAACUGUUUUUCUUGAGUACUGGAGAAGCAGACGGAAUGCCUAGUGUAGCGGUGAAAUGCGUAGAUAUUAGGAGGAACACCAGUGGCGAAGGCGGUCUGCUGGACAGCAACUGACGCUGAGGCGCGAAAGCGUGGGGAGCAAACAGGAUUAGAUACCCCAGUAGUC